Molecule: ribosomal RNA, 271 nt
Filed under: uncultured archaeon
Lineage: Archaea
Description: partial 16S ribosomal RNA
Rfam family: Archaeal small subunit ribosomal RNA
Source: RNAcentral
CAGCGCCACAAGUGGCAAUCGCGUUUAUUGGCCCUAAAGCGUCCGUAGCAGGUUUAGCAAAUCUUUUGUGAAAGCGUCGAGCUUAACUUGGCGAAUGGCAGAAGACACUACUAAACUAGGGACCGGGAGGAGUCAGAAGUAUUCUAGGGGGACCGGUAAAAUGGUAUAAUCCCUAGAGGACUACCGAUGGCGAAGGCAUCUGACCAGAACGGAUCCGACUGUGAGGGACGAAAGCUAGGGGAGCAAACCGGAUUAGAUACCCGAGUAGUCC